This 253-nucleotide ribosomal RNA is filed under the name uncultured bacterium. RNAcentral's name for it is "partial 16S ribosomal RNA". It matches the Rfam family "Bacterial small subunit ribosomal RNA", at positions 524 to 776 of the family's 1533-position model. The record is from RNAcentral.
UACGUAGGUGGCAAGCGUUGUCCGGAAUUAUUGGGCGUAAAGCGCGCGCAGGCGGUUUCUUAAGUCUGAUGUGAAAGCCCACGGCUUAACCGUGGAAGGUCAUUGGAAACUGGGAGACUUGAGUGCAGAAGAGAAGAGCGGAAUUCCACGUGUAGCGGUGAGAUGCGUAGAGAUGUGGAGGAACACCAGUGGCGAAGGCGGCUCUUUGGUCUGUAACUGACGCUGAGGCGCGAAAGCGUGGGGAUCAAACAGG